This 95-nucleotide small nuclear RNA is filed under the name Cavia porcellus (domestic guinea pig). The record is from RNAcentral. Lineage: Eukaryota; Metazoa; Chordata; Mammalia; Rodentia; Caviidae.
UUGCUUUGGCAGCAAAUUUUGCUAAGAGUGAAGACAGAGAAGAUUAGCCUGGGUCCCCAAGGAAGAACUGAAUACAGAAGGUAUUCCAUAUUUUU